Paramuricea clavata is the source of this 307-nucleotide non-coding RNA. The record is from the annotation of a GenBank genome assembly. NCBI's taxonomy places the organism in Eukaryota, Metazoa, Cnidaria, Anthozoa, Malacalcyonacea, Plexauridae.
GCCCAGUAAUUUGUUACACGAGAAAGUUUUUAUUAAAUAUCAGAAUAUAAAACGACACUUACAUUUCUUCCCCAUCUUGUCCAAACAUGAAAUCCUUUGUCAUUUUUCAACACUUGAAUACGGUAAAAUUUAUCUGAUUUUCCAUCAACAAAGUUUAGUAAACAAUAAUAAUCUUGAAACACUUCGCCUUUGCCUAGCUUGCAAUGGUCAUCCAUGUUCAUAUGGUUAGCACUAUUUUCCAUCCAGCAAACUGACCUGACGUCAUUUUCGGAAGAUAGAAGAGUUAAAUGGCUAUGUAACUAACCCA